UCAGUCGAUCCUACGGGGAGGCAGCAGUGGGGGGAAUAUUGCACAAUGGGCGCAAGCCUGAUGCAGCCAUGCCGCGUGUGUGAAGAAGGCCUUCGGGUUGUAAAGCACUUUCAGUCGUGAGGAAGGUAGUGUAGUUAAUAGCUGCAUUAUUUGACGUUAGCGACAGAAGAAGCACCGGCUAACUCCGUGCCAGCAGCCGCGGUAAUACGGAGGGGUGCGAGCGUUAAUCGGAAUUACUGGGGCGUAAAGCGCAUGCAGGUGGUUUGUUUAAGUCAGAUGUGAAAGCCCGGGGCUCAACCUCGGAAUAGCAUUUGAAACUGGCAGACUAGAGUACUGUAGAGGGGGGUAGGAAUUUCAGGUGUAGCGGUGAAAUGCGUAGAGAUCUGAAGGAAUACCGGUGGCGAAGGCGGCCCCCUGGACAGAUACUGACACUCAGAUGCGAAAGCGUGGGGAGCAAACAGGAUUAGAUACCCUGGUAG
This 479-nucleotide ribosomal RNA is filed under the name uncultured bacterium. Its description in RNAcentral is "bacterial SSU rRNA". It matches the Rfam family "Bacterial small subunit ribosomal RNA", at positions 331 to 793 of the family's 1533-position model. The record is from RNAcentral.